Cercocebus atys (sooty mangabey) is the source of this 79-nucleotide microRNA precursor. Lineage: Eukaryota; Metazoa; Chordata; Mammalia; Primates; Cercopithecidae. The record is from Ensembl.
UUAGGUUGGUGCAAAAGUAACUGUGGUUUUUGCCAUUGAAAGUAAUGGCAAAAACCGCAGUUACUUUUCCAUGAACCUA